Oncorhynchus mykiss (rainbow trout) is the source of this 725-nucleotide non-coding RNA. The record is from RefSeq and is a predicted model, not a curated record. NCBI's taxonomy places the organism in Eukaryota, Metazoa, Chordata, Actinopteri, Salmoniformes, Salmonidae.
UCCUCAGCUUCCACCGACCUGACGGAGAAUGGAAUUACCCUCGCUGAAGACCCAGAUUCAACAGCGCCCUCUCUCGCCGAGUUCCACAGUGCUUUCCAGGUUGUGUUUGUCGACCCCUCUGGACACCUCAACAUGUGCGCCGACAUGACCAGCUGCACCUACAAUCAGGAUCAGUACGAGGCGUCGCUGUCACUGCAGUUUUGGGACGACCCCACUGUGGAUGGAUUCCACGCCCUACUCAUGAUCCCCAAGCCCAUUAUUAGGACCAGUGACCAUGUCUUCCACUGUGUGAGGUGGUGAAACUGCAGUGCUGCUGUAAGAAGCUCGACCUCCUCGGUGAACUCAUGGACCACAGCGGAAACUACGUCCUCACUGUGCUCCCCUUUAUCCUCUCCCUCCUGCAACGAGGACUAAGCCAAAGGGUCUGCCUCCUCACCCACUCCCUGACCCCCUGAGGUGAGCAUUCUCCUGCCUGUAGGGCUGUUGACUGGAACAGGCUGAUUCAGUACUUUUUUAGAGAGAACUGUUUUCUUGAUAAAAUUCUGAGUGGGUAUUCUGGCUGACGUGUGUAACGGUGGUCGGUGGAGAGUGAAGCUCUGAAGCACAAUGCCCAGCCGCCCCUGUCCUUUGGCCUGCUGCUCAACCCAGAACAGGAUGCAUCUGUACUGGAGAGAGGACCCCCUCCAGCUGGCAGCUGAACGUACCUCAACUCCUAAUCACUGAUC